RNAcentral lists this ribosomal RNA (446 nucleotides) under uncultured bacterium. Its description in RNAcentral is "bacterial SSU rRNA". It matches the Rfam family "Bacterial small subunit ribosomal RNA", at positions 330 to 792 of the family's 1533-position model. The record is from RNAcentral.
UCCAGACUCCUACGGGAGGCAGCAGUCGGGAAUAUUGCGCAAUGGAGGAAACUCUGACGCAGUGACGCCGCGUAUAGGAAGAAGGUUUUCGGAUUGUAAACUAUUUUCGUUAGGGAAGAUAAAAGGCUGUACCUAAGGAGGAAGCCCCGGCUAACUACGUGCCAGCAGCCGCGGUAAUACGUAGGGGGCAAGCGUUAUCCGGAAUUACUGGGUGUAAAGGGUGAGUAGGCGGCAUGGUAAGCCAGAUGUGAAAGCCUUGGGCUUAACCCGAGGAUUGCAUUUGGAACUAUCAAGCUAGAGUACAGGAGAGGAAAGCGGAAUUCCUAGUGUAGCGGUGAAAUGCGUAGAUAUUAGGAAGAACACCAGUGGCGAAGGCGGCUUUCUGGACUGAAACUGACGCUGAGGCACGAAAGCGUGGGGAGCGAACAGGAUUAGAUACCCUUGUA